Molecule: transfer RNA, 69 nt
Filed under: Ictidomys tridecemlineatus (thirteen-lined ground squirrel)
Lineage: Eukaryota; Metazoa; Chordata; Mammalia; Rodentia; Sciuridae
Description: Spermophilus tridecemlineatus (thirteen-lined ground squirrel) tRNA
Rfam family: tRNA
About the family: Transfer RNA (tRNA) molecules are approximately 80 nucleotides in length. Their secondary structure includes four short double-helical elements and three loops (D, anti-codon, and T loops).
Source: Rfam by way of RNAcentral
GGGGUUGUGGCUCAAUGGUAGAGCGCUUGCCUAGCGCGUGGGAGGCACUGGGUUCAAUCCUCAACACCA